CCUACGGGGGGCUGCAGUAACGAAUCUUCCGCAAUGCACGCAAGUGUGACGGAGCGACGCCGCGUGGAGGACGAAGUUCUUCGGAAUGUAAACUCCUGUCAGGCAGAGUUGGCGCCCCAGAGGAAGGCACGGCUAACUCUGUGCCAGCAGCCGCGGUAAGACAGAGGUGCCGAGCGUUAGGCGGAAUCACUGGGCUUAAAGCGUGUGUAGGCGGGCGGACAAGUACCUUGUGAAAUCCCACGGCUCAACCGUGGAACGGCUGGGUAUACUGUUCGCCUUGAGCCAACUAGGGGCGAGCGGAACAAGUGGUGGAGCGGUGAAAUGCGUAGAUAUCACUUGGAACGCCAAAGGUGAAAACAGCUCGCUGGGUGUGCUGACGCUGAGACACGAAAGCCAGGGGAGCGAACGGGAUUAGAUACCCUUGUAGUC
This 429-nucleotide ribosomal RNA is filed under the name uncultured bacterium. RNAcentral's name for it is "partial 16S ribosomal RNA". It matches the Rfam family "Bacterial small subunit ribosomal RNA", at positions 338 to 795 of the family's 1533-position model. The record is from RNAcentral.